UACAGAGGUCCCAAGCGUUGUUCGGAUUCACUGGGCGUAAAGGGUGCGUAGGCGGUCGGGUAAGUCUGAUGUGAAAUCUCGAAGCCUAACUUCGAAACUGCAUUGGAUACUAUUCGGCUAGAGGAGUGGAAGGGAGACUGGAAUGCUCGGUGUAGCAGUGAAAUGCGUAGAUAUCGAGCGGAACACCAGUGGCGAAGGCGAGUCUCUGGACACUUCCUGACGCUGAGGCACGAAAGCCAGGGGAGCAAACAGG
RNAcentral lists this ribosomal RNA (253 nucleotides) under uncultured bacterium. RNAcentral describes it as "partial 16S ribosomal RNA". It matches the Rfam family "Bacterial small subunit ribosomal RNA", at positions 524 to 776 of the family's 1533-position model. The record is from RNAcentral.